UAAGAAUCACAAAUAACUCAGAUCGUCCUGUUCAGCUUCUCAGAAGACAUUGGAUUAUCACGGAUGCCAAUGGAAAAACUGAAAAUGUUUGGGGGAUUGGUGUUAUAGGUGAACAGCCAGUUAUACUUCCUAAGACAGGGUUUGAAUACUCAUCUGCUUGCCCAUUAUCUACCCCAAAUGGCAGAAUGGAAGGUGACUUUGAGAUGAAACACAUCGAUAGAGUAGGGUCAACAACUUUCAACGUGG
RNAcentral lists this unclassified non-coding RNA (246 nucleotides) under Hevea brasiliensis (rubber tree). Lineage: Eukaryota; Viridiplantae; Streptophyta; Magnoliopsida; Malpighiales; Euphorbiaceae. The record is from RNAcentral.